Molecule: ribosomal RNA, 450 nt
Filed under: uncultured bacterium
Lineage: Bacteria
Description: bacterial SSU rRNA
Rfam family: Bacterial small subunit ribosomal RNA
Source: RNAcentral
GUGGGGAAUUUUGGACAAUGGGCGAAAGCCUGAUCCAGCCAUGCCGCGUGCAGGAUGAAGGCCUUCGGGUUGUAAACUGCUUUUGUACGGAACGAAAAGACUUCUUCUAAUACAGGAGGUCCAUGACGGUACCGUAAGAAUAAGCACCGGCUAACUACGUGCCAGCAGCCGCGGUAAUACGUAGGGUGCAAGCGUUAAUCGGAAUUACUGGGCGUAAAGCGUGCGCAGGCGGUUAUAUAAGACAGAUGUGAAAUCCCCGGGCUCAACCUGGGAACUGCAUUUGUGACUGUAUAGCUAGAGUACGGUAGAGGGGGAUGGAAUUCCGCGUGUAGCAGUGAAAUGCGUAGAUAUGCGGAGGAACACCGAUGGCGAAGGCAAUCCCCUGGACCUGUACUGACGCUCAUGCACGAAAGCGUGGGGAGCAAACAGGAUUAGAAACCCUGGUAGUCC